AUUGAACGCUGGCGGCAUGCCUUACACAUGCAAGUCGAACGGCAGCACGGACUUCGGUCUGGUGGCGAGUGGCGAACGGGUGAGUAAUGUAUCGGAACGUACCUUUCAGUGGGGAUAACGUAGCGAAAGUUACGCUAAUACCGCAUAUUCUGUGAGCAGGAAAGCAGGGGAUCGCAAAGACCUUGCGCUGAUUGAGCGGCCGAUAUCAGAUUAGCUAGUUGGUGAGGUAAAGGCUCACCAAGGCGACGAUCUGUAGCGGGUCUGAGAGGAUGAUCCGCCACACUGGAACUGAGACACGGUCCAGACUCCUACGGGAGGCAGCAGUGGGAAUUUUGGACAAUGGGGCAACCCUGAUCCAGCCAUGCCGCGUGAGUGAAGAAGGCC
RNAcentral lists this ribosomal RNA (384 nucleotides) under uncultured bacterium. RNAcentral describes it as "bacterial SSU rRNA". It matches the Rfam family "Bacterial small subunit ribosomal RNA", at positions 30 to 416 of the family's 1533-position model. The record is from RNAcentral.